This 1359-nucleotide ribosomal RNA is filed under the name Acinetobacter baumannii. Its description in RNAcentral is "partial 23S ribosomal RNA". It matches the Rfam family "Bacterial large subunit ribosomal RNA", at positions 1588 to 2925 of the family's 2925-position model. The record is from RNAcentral. Lineage: Bacteria; Pseudomonadati; Pseudomonadota; Gammaproteobacteria; Moraxellales; Moraxellaceae.
AAGUGGUUGAUGCCAUGCUUCCAGGAAAAGUCUCUAAGCUUCAGUUACACAGGAAUCGUACCCGAAACCGACACAGGUGGUCAGGUCGAGUAGACCAAGGCGCUUGAGAGAACUCUGCUGAAGGAACUAGGCAAAAUGGUACCGUAACUUCGGGAGAAGGUACGCUGUUGUUGGUGAUGGAACUCGCUUCCUGAGCUGACGACAGCCGCAGAAACCAGGCCGCUGCAACUGUUUAUUAAAAACAUAGCACUCUGCAAACACGAAAGUGGACGUAUAGGGUGUGAUGCCUGCCCGGUGCUGGAAGGUUAAUUGAUGGGGUUAGCGUAAGCGAAGCUCUUGAUCGAAGCCCCAGUAAACGGCGGCCGUAACUAUAACGGUCCUAAGGUAGCGAAAUUCCUUGUCGGGUAAGUUCCGACCUGCACGAAUGGCAUAAUGAUGGCGGCGCUGUCUCCAGCAGAGGCUCAGUGAAAUCGAAAUCGCUGUGAAGAUGCAGUGUACCCGCGGCUAGACGGAAAGACCCCGUGAACCUUUACUGCAGCUUGACACUGAACUUUGACCUUACUUGUGUAGGAUAGGUGGGAGGCUUUGAAGCUGGAACGCUAGUUCCAGUGGAGCCGUCCUUGAAAUACCACCCUGGUAAUGUUGAGGUUCUAACUCUGUCCCGUGAUCCGGGACGAGGACCGUGUCUGGUGGGUAGUUUGACUGGGGCGGUCUCCUCCUAAAGAGUAACGGAGGAGUACGAAGGUGCGCUCAGCGUGGUCGGAAAUCACGCGUAGAGUAUAAAGGCAAAAGCGCGCUUAACUGCGAGACCCACAAGUCGAGCAGGUACGAAAGUAGGUCUUAGUGAUCCGGUGGUUCUGUAUGGAAGGGCCAUCGCUCAACGGAUAAAAGGUACUCUGGGGAUAACAGGCUGAUACCGCCCAAGAGUUCAUAUCGACGGCGGUGUUUGGCACCUCGAUGUCGGCUCAUCUCAUCCUGGGGCUGAAGCAGGUCCCAAGGGUAUGGCUGUUCGCCAUUUAAAGAGGUACGCGAGCUGGGUUUAGAACGUCGUGAGACAGUUCGGUCCCUAUCUACCGUGGGCGCUGGAAAUUUGAGAGGAUCUGCUCCUAGUACGAGAGGACCAGAGUGGACGAACCUCUGGUGUACCGGUUGUGACGCCAGUCGCAUCGCCGGGUAGCUAUGUUCGGAAGGGAUAACCGCUGAAAGCAUCUAAGCGGGAAGCCUACCUCAAGAUAAGAUUUCCCUAGGACUUUAUGUCCUCUAAAGAGCCGUUCGAGACUAGGACGUUGAUAGGUUGGAUGUGGAAGCAUAGUGAUAUGUGAAGCUGACCAAUACUAAUUGCUCGUGAGGCUUGACUAU